Molecule: ribosomal RNA, 369 nt
Filed under: uncultured rumen bacterium
Lineage: Bacteria
Description: partial 16S ribosomal RNA
Source: RNAcentral
UAUUCCCCACUGCUGCCUCCCGUAGGAGUUUGGGCCGUGUCUCAGUCCCAAUGUGGCCGAUCAACCUCUCAGUUCGGCUACGUAUCAUCACCUUGGUAGGCCGUUACCCCACCAACAAGUUAAUACGCCGCAGGCCCAUCCAAAAGUGACAGCAAAAGCCGUCUUUUACAUGAACAUCAUGCGGUGUUCAUGGUUAUGCGGUAUUAGCACCUGUUUCCAAGUGUUAUCCCCCUCUUUUGGGCAGGUUGCCUACGUGUUACUCACCCGUUCGCCACUAAGCUUCUUUCGGUGAAUGCAAGCAUUCGGUGAAAGAAAGCUUCGUUCGACUUGCAUGUAUUAGGCACGCCGCCAGCGUUCAUCCUGAGCCAA